AGUGCUGUGUUUUUAUAGUUAUGGUAAGACAAAUGUAAUUCUUCGUAAUAUUUGCACUAGAGGUGCAAUUUUGUGUUUUUAACUGACCGUAAGUUCAUAUCAUUGUAUUUAAAAGAGGUAGGUGCUAAAGCGAUGGUUGUGCGCGAUCUUCUACAUAAAAUAAUUCUAGUUUUCUGUUAUUUCGUAAACUUAAGGUAGCUCGGGGUUAUUUUCGUACAACCAACUCACUGCCUUUGUCUAUUUUUCGAUAUGUUAGUUUCAAAUAGUUCAUUUAAAAUACGAUACGUACGAUCUCCAAUUAAAAUUUUAUUGACUUUUCAACAAAUAUUAGUUGCAUGAAGAAUACACAGCAAAUUCAGUACAUUAUUUCUUGUACGUUGGUAGUAUUACAUGUCGACAGAAUAUAAUAAAACAAACAUACAUAACUGGUAUGAUUAAUUAUAUCAUUAAUUAAAAUUAACGUUGAAAAUAUUGGAUGCUAAUUCAUAAAAUAAUUUAUUUUGUUGUAUUCUUGAAUAACAAACUAUGGAAAAUUCUGCCUCAAGCUUCAGUUUUGUGAAAUUGCAGUCAACAGAUAGUUUUUUUUUUGUAUAUUUAUAUAAAUGGCAUGCAAAUAUUUUAUAGAUAUAUAAACCACUGUGUUGCCAUUUUUAUGUAAUAUUUAAAGGCGAUUUCAUACUAAAGAUGUGUUCCGAUAAUACCCAUGAAAUAAAAUUUCAAUACAAUUUAACCUUCAUAAUGUCAUACAUUUUAUAAGAAGCGUCAAAUAUACCAACAUUAAACUUUCAAAGUUGUUUUUCUAUUAUUAAUUGAAAAAUUCUUAACUGGUAUCAGAUAUUCGUCGAACUGCCUUUACUCUGAAAAUAGUAUUCGCAAAAUAAUGCGGUUGUUUCGUUUCAAUUACUUCUGUUAUGGCCGGCGCCGGUCUUAAUAAAAAUAAAACAAUUUGUUAAUUAGAGCGAUUCAUAUUACUCUGUAUCAUCAUAAAUAAAGUUAAAAAAUGUACGGUUAAAUUAUAUAAUCUGACAAUAUCAAAUAAUACUGUUUUAUAAUAUACUGUUUAAUUUUUUAUAUAAUCGAUCUAUACAGUUUUGUAUCAUACGAGAUAAAAUUAUUAUAGUUAAAAAAAUAGAAAUAAAAUUGUUUUUAAAAUGAUUUUUUUUUUAAUUAUCUAUUAAGUUAAUGAUGUAACAGCUACACGUAGGUACAGGCUUUGCUUGUUCUACAGGAAAAGUAAAAAAAUGUAUUUUUUUUUUGCGCGGUUCUAUUUAUUGUCUAGCCAUACUAUAAUUUGAUGACUUACAUUAUACUUCCAAUAUAAGCAAAGGUAUGUCAAA
Melitaea cinxia (Glanville fritillary) is the source of this 1337-nucleotide long non-coding RNA. RefSeq lists it as uncharacterized. The record is from RefSeq and is a predicted model, not a curated record. The transcript is spliced from 2 exons. NCBI's taxonomy places the organism in Eukaryota, Metazoa, Arthropoda, Insecta, Lepidoptera, Nymphalidae.